UAAACGAUGUCGACUUGGAGGUUGUGCCCUUGAGGCGUGGCUUCCGGAGCUAACGCGUUAAGUCGACCGCCUGGGGAGUACGGCCGCAAGGUUAAAACUCAAAUGAAUUGACGGGGGCCCGCACAAGCGGCGGAGCAUGUGGUUUAAUUCGAUGCAACGCGAAGAACCUUACCUGGCCUUGACAUCCAGAGAACUUAGCAGAGAUGCUUUGGUGCCUUCGGGAACUCUGAGACAGGUGCUGCAUGGCUGUCGUCAGCUCGUGUUGUGAAAUGUUGGGUUAAGUCCCGCAACGAGCGCAACCCUUAUCCUUUGUUGCCAGCGGUUCGGCCGGGAACUCAAAGGAGACUGCCGGUGAUAAACCGGAGGAAGGUGGGGAUGACGUCAAGUCAUCAUGGCCCUUACGGCCAGGGCUACACACGUGCUACAAUGGCGCAUACAAAGAGAAGCGACCUCGCGAGAGCAAGCGGACCUCAUAAAGUGCGUCGUAGUCCGGAUUGGAGUCUGCAACUCGACUCCAUGAAGUCGGAAUCGCUAGUAAUCGUAGAUCAGAAUGCUACGGUGAAUACGUUCCCGGGCCUUGUACACACCGCCCGUCACACCAUGGGAGUGGGUUGCAAAAGAAGUAGGUAGCUUAACCUUCGGGAGGGCGCUUACCACUUUGUGAUUCAUGACUGGGGUGAAGUCGUAACAAGGUAACCAAGGGCGAAUUCUG
RNAcentral lists this ribosomal RNA (712 nucleotides) under uncultured Pantoea sp. RNAcentral describes it as "bacterial SSU rRNA". It matches the Rfam family "Bacterial small subunit ribosomal RNA", at positions 803 to 1515 of the family's 1533-position model. Lineage: Bacteria; Pseudomonadati; Pseudomonadota; Gammaproteobacteria; Enterobacterales; Erwiniaceae. The record is from RNAcentral.